UACGUAUGAGGCAAGCGUUGUUCGGAAUUAUUGGGCGUAAAGGGCAUCUAGGCGGGAUGUUAAGUCAGGUGUGAAAUUCCACGGCUCAACUGUGGAACUGCAUUUGAUACUGGCAUUCUUGAGUUCGGAAGAGGAAGGCGGAAUUCCCGGUGUAGCGGUGAAAUGCGUAGAUAUCGGGAAGAACACCGGUGGCGAAGGCGGCCUUCUGGUCCAGGACUGACGCUGACAUGCGAAAGUGUGGGGAU
RNAcentral lists this ribosomal RNA (245 nucleotides) under uncultured bacterium. RNAcentral's name for it is "partial 16S ribosomal RNA". It matches the Rfam family "Bacterial small subunit ribosomal RNA", at positions 524 to 768 of the family's 1533-position model. The record is from RNAcentral.